RNAcentral lists this ribosomal RNA (465 nucleotides) under Vreelandella stevensii. Its description in RNAcentral is "partial 16S ribosomal RNA". It matches the Rfam family "Bacterial small subunit ribosomal RNA", at positions 338 to 795 of the family's 1533-position model. Lineage: Bacteria; Pseudomonadati; Pseudomonadota; Gammaproteobacteria; Oceanospirillales; Halomonadaceae. The record is from RNAcentral.
CCUACGGGGGGCUGCAGUGGGGAAUAUUGGACAAUGGGGGGAACCCUGAUCCAGCCAUGCCGCGUGUGUGAAGAAGGCCCUCGGGUUGUAAAGCACUUUCAGUGAGGAAGAACGCCUGGUGGUUAAUACCCAUCAGGAAAGACAUCACUCACAGAAGAAGCACCGGCUAACUCCGUGCCAGCAGCCGCGGUAAUACGGAGGGUGCGAGCGUUAAUCGGAAUUACUGGGCGUAAAGCGCGCGUAGGUGGCUUGAUAAGCCGGUUGUGAAAGCCCCGGGCUCAACCUGGGAACGGCAUCCGGAACUGUCAAGCUAGAGUGCAGGAGAGGAAGGUAGAAUUCCCGGUGUAGCGGUGAAAUGCGUAGAGAUCGGGAGGAAUACCAGUGGCGAAGGCGGCCUUCUGGACUGACACUGACACUGAGGUGCGAAAGCGUGGGUAGCAAACAGGAUUAGAUAUCCCUGUAGUC